RNAcentral lists this ribosomal RNA (440 nucleotides) under uncultured bacterium. RNAcentral's name for it is "partial 16S ribosomal RNA". It matches the Rfam family "Bacterial small subunit ribosomal RNA", at positions 338 to 795 of the family's 1533-position model. The record is from RNAcentral.
CCUACGUGAGGCAGCAGUGGGGGAUAUUGCACAAUGGGGGCAACCCUGAUGCAGCGACGCCGCGUGAGGGAAGACGGUCCUCUGGAUUGUAAACCACUGUCCCCAGGGACGAAGAUGACGGUACCUGGGGAGGAAGCGCAGGCCAAAUACGUGCGAGCAGCCGCGGUAAUAGGCAGGGAGGGAGCGUUGUCCGGAUGUAUUGGGGGCACAGGGGGCGUAGGCGGGGCUGAAAGUUGGGUGUAAAAACUACCGACUCAACUUGGAGUCGCACUCAAAACUGCAGCUCUUGAGUGAAGUAGAGGCAGGCGGAAUUCCGAGUGUAGCGGUGAAAUGCGUAGAUAUUAGGAGGAACACCAGUGGCGAAGGCGGCCUGCUGGGCUUUUACUGACGCUGAGGCUCGAAAGUGUGGGGAGCAAACAGGAUUAGAUACCCUAGUAGUC